Molecule: long non-coding RNA, 1640 nt
Organism: Cyprinus carpio (common carp)
Lineage: Eukaryota; Metazoa; Chordata; Actinopteri; Cypriniformes; Cyprinidae
Exons: 3
Source: RefSeq, a predicted model, not a curated record
CGUUCUUUGAAAUAUCUUCUUUUGUAUUCAGGAGAAGAAAGACAUACAUACAGGUUUGGAACAACUUGAGGGUGUGUAAAUGAUGGCAGAAUUUUCAUUUUUGGGUGAACUGUCUCUUUAACUCUCACUAUUUCUUCACAUGCUGCUAUCUUAACUAUGGCAUGUUGGGCCAUGAACUCCACACAGUAAUGUGAGACUGAUCUUAUGACCAGGGCCACAGCUGUUGCAACUGUGUGAGACUAAUACAGAAGGCACGCACACACACACACACCACUUCAGUGCCACUCAACAUUUCAGUGCCUUCAGCAAGUAUGACUGACAGUACAAGGAAAAACAUUAAGAUGCUCAGCUCUCUGCCAGCUUAUUCUCUGACUGACGAGGGACAUUUGCAGUAUUAUUAUGGUCACUGUUAGGGGAGGCGGUCAGCAAUCCAAUUGGAUGAAGCCAGUGGGAUGCCCCAAAUACAGAGGGCGGGAGAGCAGGAGUCAGAGCGUCUUAUACAGACACAGUUUACCAUCAUAACGCACAAGAACAUGACUCUGGCCUGAUGUCAUUUUGAAUAUCACCUGGACUAGAAAAGCCAGAUCCUUAAUAACAUCAUCCACCAGGAAGUGACAUCAUUUUCAGCAGAAAAACAACAACACAACAUCAGUAAGUGUUAGCUUGUAAAAUGCUGAAAGUUUGUGAUAUUACUGGUUUAUGUCACUUACAAACAGAAAUUAGUAUAAUAAUAACAACCAAUUUCAAGCGAUGAUCGCCGAACAUCAAAAUGAAGUUAACUUUAGCUUAACUAAUUAGCUAACUUCCAAUCCCUCGCAUCUUUAGCUCUUCAUUUUCUGUUGAUUUUCUAGUCAUUGUGUAAAUAAUUAGUAACGUUAAGGUGUCGGAGCGUGACCACCUUGUAAUAGAAAUGCACUUUAGCACAUUUUUAAAAAGAAUACUCAUUAUGCAGAUAACGUGCUUAAGUGUGACCUGAAUGUAAUAUUUCCAGACACUUGUUUGCAUGUUAAAUGAAAACAUGUUAAAAAAGGAACUGGUUUGAGAAAGCCACCAAAGCAACUUCUGAUCUGGAUCCAACAGUAUAUAUCACUGGAUCCACUGAAAUGAGCUUAUAUGAAACUUAACCACUAUCUUCAGCUUCCAGUGUAUGAAAUAAAACUGAGGACAAUGCACUAACCACACACUUCUAACAGCAGUUCUCUAACCAGUUAGACAUUAUUGUGCUGAUAAUGAGCCCAUUAUACACUAAUGACACCUGUAAGUGUCUAAAUCUUCAUUUACAAGAGCAUAAUGUAAGGCAGGUGAAACAGCAACAAAAUAACACUGAACUUCUGAUCCUUUAUAUAGCAACUGAAUGGACUGUUGUUAUCAUGGCGAAUUUAUGACAUGCAGUCCCUUGUGAUUUUAGCAUACUUUUAAAAACAGUAAUUAUUACAGAAAUAAUAUACUUUAAAAAGAAUAUGCUUAAUUGUGGAUUGAAUGCAAAUGUAUAAAUGUAUAUUAAAUGCAAUUAGGAGUGAUUUUGACUCUUUUUAAAGUGUGACUUAAGUACAACUUUAUAUGAAAUUUCAUAAUUACUUAUAUUGUCUUUGAAAUAUGGUGAAAGUGUACUUCCAAAUGUACUGACAAGUGUUCAUAGU